Dendroctonus ponderosae (mountain pine beetle) is the source of this 801-nucleotide long non-coding RNA. RefSeq lists it as uncharacterized. The record is from RefSeq and is a predicted model, not a curated record. NCBI's taxonomy places the organism in Eukaryota, Metazoa, Arthropoda, Insecta, Coleoptera, Curculionidae. The transcript is spliced from 2 exons.
AUAAGGGCCGGUUGCGCAAUCCAAGUUCAGCGGUGAACGUGGUUUAACGAAAGUUUUCGGUUGUACCAGUCGCGUUUAAGCUUGAACGGCAGAUUAAAUCCGAGUUCAGUUUUACCGCACAGUUUGUGCGGCACAGAACGUACCUCCUUAGGAGCGGUUGCAUAAAAGCAAGUUCAACGAUGGUUCAGCAGAACCGAGUUCGAUUAUUCACGGGUUGUACAACGCCUAGCGGAACUCGGUUCAGUUGAACUGGACAAUCACAUCAAUUUUUUUUCUCAGGUGGGCUCUUCCGAACCUUUGUAAAAUGUGCUAUUUGGUAAACUUUGAUUGGCUACUAUGUUUGUCGUGGUACAACCCGUGAAUAAUUGAACUUGGUUCAGCUGAACCAUCGUUCAACUUGCUUUUGUGCAACCAGCCUUAAGUCGAUCUUUCCCCUGGCUAGAGAAUUAUACUUUAUUGCGCAACAUUGAACAUAACCUAUACUGACUGACAUUCAACGCAGUUCAUUUGUAAUCUUCGCUGUUGAACAUACACAAACUCUCCAAAAUGUCCCUUGGAAAAACAAUUUACAAUUCCAUUUUCAAGAGGUCUUCCACCUUCACUCUGGCUUUCAUUGCGUCGGCCUUUAUUUUCGAGAGAACGCUGGAUUCGGCCUGUGACACCAUAUUUGACAAUAUCAAUAAAGGGAAAUUAUGGAAGGACAUCAAGGACAACUACACCCAGUAAUAUACUUAGCUCAUCUCAUAUAGUAUAACUUAUUCUGAAUGUUAACGCAGUUUAUAAAUAAAAAAUUCUAAAACA